This 407-nucleotide ribosomal RNA is filed under the name uncultured bacterium. RNAcentral describes it as "partial 16S ribosomal RNA". It matches the Rfam family "Bacterial small subunit ribosomal RNA", at positions 29 to 526 of the family's 1533-position model. The record is from RNAcentral.
AUUGAACGCUGGCGGCAGGCCUAACACAUGCAAGUCGAGCGGAGCGGCGGACGGGUGAGUAAUGCCUAGGAAUCUGCCUGGUAGUGGGGGAUAACGUCCGGAAACGGGCGCUAAUACCGCAAACUAUCAGAUGAGCCUAGGUCGGAUUAGCUAGUUGGUGGGGUAAAGGUCUACCAGGGCGUCGAUCCGUAACUGGGCUGAGAGGAUGAUCAAUCACACUGGAACUGCGAACCGGGCCAGACCCCUUCGGGGGGCAGCAGGAGGGAAAUGUCGGAAAAGGGGAGAACGCUGAACGAAGACAGCCGCGGGGGGGAAGGAGGGGUUCGGAUCGGAAAGCGCUGUUGUGAAGGAAGCGGUACUUGACCAGAAAGGACCGGCUAACUACGUGCCAGCAGCCGCGGUAAUUC